UCCCUCCAACUAUCGUAUCCCCUUUUGUAUUUAUUCCUCUCUCUAUUGAACACAUUUUGCAUACGCCUUAUCCGUUCCUACGUAGAUAAAGAUAAUCAUAUGAUUCAUACCUAUCUAAUACAAUUAUACUUCCCCUGCUCCUAGAGUAGCAGUUCAAAAACCAUUUUACCUUAAGGUAGCGUUUGGCUGGAGGUAAUUAAAAUGAAAAGAAAACAAUUUUUAUUUUAUUUUUUUGUUUGGUUGCAUUUUAAAGUAUAGGAAUAACACUCUAAUAAAAUGUUUUUUUCACUAUUUUGGUAGAAUGACUAUUCUAUUUUAAAAGAAAAGGAAAGACCAUUCUGAUGUAAGAUGAAGAAAAUUAAUGAUUUUUUUAAGAAUGUUUUUUAUACAUUUUAAAUUUUAUUCCAUUCUAUUCCUACUCUUAUUCUCAUUCUCAUUCUUAUGUUUUCAUUCCUCAACCAAACACUACUUUUAUAGUAUUUGGGCGGCUUAGAGAUAUAUAUAGGGGAAGCUGUUUCUAAGCAUAACAACUCUUCAUUGAUCGGGAACGCAGCUUGUUAAGUAAGAAAUUACAACACUUUAUUAUUAUUGAAUAGUACUAAUACAAGCUUUGAACGCAACUUUUACACUCGGACUCUAUUUCUCAAAUUUGCCCUUUGGGUACACACCAUACUUCUAUGUAUAGGCUGCAUAGGAGAUUUCUAAAUCUUUCUAGAAUUCUCUAACUUCCAAAGUUAUAAAAAGGUUUCUACCACUAUCUAAAUAAUUCUAGAACUAUCUAUAGCUAGUUUAACUAACUAUAUAUUUCUUCUAAAACUUUACAGAAUGUUCUAGGUUCUCUCCUAGUAUUUUCUUAGAGCAUUAUUAUUCUGAAAAUUUUAGAAUCGGCAACGACUUUUAACACAGCUAGCCUUCAAGCAAAUAAUGUUCACUAUUUUGAUAAUCAACUAAAAAGUUUUCGCACGAAUUAAAUCCUUUAUUUAUUUAAUUUUUUGAAAAAUACAAAGGAUUACAUUAAACUGAAAACUCACCACUCUUUCCAUUUCUUCUUCAUACUCUUCUUGCAUCCGUCGAUUGUAUUUUUUCCAAGCUUCCUCCUGAAAAGAUGAUCGGAAUGAUUUGCCUGAUCCUCCUUUCCAUGUCUGUGAUCUGCUCAACUUUUUUUUUUGUGGUGCAAUGCAAUGAUCAACAUCAACAGUAAAUUAGCUCGUGCAUUGUGCAUUUCAGACAUAAUAAAAUCACAAGAAAUGAUGAAAAUAGAUUUUCAUUGCAAACUGACAAACAAGAAAAACUCAUUCAAUGAAUCGUAAGUGCUGUUUCCUUGCUAUAACAUCCACAAAUUCAUUAUAGGCAUAAAAUAGCGCUAAAGAGAAGCCAAAGUAUUGCAAGGCUUGCCAACUCGAACUAAGUAAACACUACUUAUGGGGUCUUAAGUAUUAGUUUAUAUAAAGCAUGCAGCAAAAUUAAAAAGAUUUAAGUAUCAAAUUAACGAUUGAAAAUAUCCUUACUAGAAAGAAUAGAUGAUGCCAUUUAUACAGUGUCCAAACUCCAACGAAAAUAUUAAAGUUCAUUUAUAUAAUCAGAUUAAUGAGAACUAGAAAGUACAUUAUGUUAUGCCUACCACUACCUGAGAGUAAAACCAAUCAACAGUUCUUCGCAACUGACCAACCUGCCAAACGGGUAUAAAAAUCUAAGAACGCAAACUUAUCGCAAGUUUUCAAGAAGCAAAGAUAAAAGCUUUGUUCAUUUCCCCACCAUAUUACAAAUGAAAAUUAAAUUCUGUCUUUUUCUCCUUAGCUUAAACGAAUAAAUACACAAAUUGAGCCGAUAAAAGUGUCAAAGUGUUUAUAAUUAUAUACACACUUACCGCGAACGUGGUGACGGUGGCGCCAAUUAAUCCGAAGAGGAAAACUCCCCAAAGUUUCAUGUCCUCUUUUUGGGACGGGUUGUUUGGAGACGACGGCCAAGGAUUAUCGUUUCUAUCUUUACCAUCCCCCUCCUUCAUCUUCCCCGAUCGAAAUUUGAAGUAUCAAUUAAAAUAUUACAGUUGGGAGAUGGUAAAGUAUCACUAGGGUUUAUCUUGUCCCACUGAUUUGGGAUUUCUUUUUCCUGAAACCGACUUAUGGAGCUGGCUGGAAGAGACAGAGAUUAUCGUAAUGUAGAUGGGGUGUUUCAGCUUAAUUUCAUCGUAC
Molecule: long non-coding RNA, 2192 nt
Organism: Cannabis sativa
Lineage: Eukaryota; Viridiplantae; Streptophyta; Magnoliopsida; Rosales; Cannabaceae
Exons: 2
Source: RefSeq, a predicted model, not a curated record